GACGAACGCUGGCGGCGCGCCUAACACAUGCAAGUCGAACGAGCGAGAGAGAGCUUGCUUUCUUGAGCGAGUGGCGAACGGGUGAGUAACGCGUGAGGAACCUGCCUCAAAGAGGGGGACAACAGUUGGAAACGACUGCUAAUACCGCAUAAGCCCACGGUGCCGCAUGGCACAGAGGGAAAAGGAGCAAUCCGCUUUGAGAUGGCCUCGCGUCCGAUUAGCUAGUUGGUGAGGUAACGGCCCACCAAGGCGACGAUCGGUAGCCGGACUGAGAGGUUGAACGGCCACAUUGGGACUGGGACACGGCCCAGACUCCUACGGGAGGCAGCAGUGGGGAAUAUUGCACAAUGGGGGAAACCCUGAUGCAGCGACGCCGCGUGGAGGAAGAAGGUCUUCGGAUUGUAAACUCCUGUUGUUGGGGAAGAUAAUGACGGUACCCAACAAGGAAGUGACGGCUAACUACGUG
This 466-nucleotide ribosomal RNA is filed under the name uncultured bacterium. Its description in RNAcentral is "partial 16S ribosomal RNA". It matches the Rfam family "Bacterial small subunit ribosomal RNA", at positions 28 to 507 of the family's 1533-position model. The record is from RNAcentral.